GGUAUAUAGCUCAAUUGGUAGAGUGCUUGCCUCACAUGCACAAGGCCUUGGAUUCAAUCCCCAACACCA
Molecule: transfer RNA, 69 nt
Filed under: Marmota monax (woodchuck)
Lineage: Eukaryota; Metazoa; Chordata; Mammalia; Rodentia; Sciuridae
Description: tRNA.Val
Source: RNAcentral